UACGCGGUGAGCAACAGACACUGGUCUUUCUCUCCUCUCAGAGGUACAAGGUGGAUGAUACGCGGUGAGCAACAGACACUGGUCUUUCUCUCCUCUCAGAGGUACAAGGUGGAUGAUACGCGGUGAGCAACAGACACUGGUCUUUCUCUCCUCUCAGAGGUACAAGGUGGAUGAUACGCGGUGAGCAACAGACACUGGUCUUUCUCUCCUCUCAGAGGUACAAGGUGGAUGAUACGCGGUGAGCAACAGACACUGGUCUUUCUCUCCUCUCAGAGGUACAAGGUGGAUGAUACGCGGUGAGCAACAGACACUGGUCUUUCUCUCCUCUCAGAGGUACAAGGUGGAUGAUACGCGGUGAGCAACAGACACUGGUCUUUCUCUCCUCUCAGAGGUACAAGGUGGAUGAUACGCGGUGAGCAACAGACACUGGUCUUUCUCUCCUCUCAGAGGUACAAGGUGGAUGAUACACGGUGAGCAACAGACACUGGUCUUUCUCUCCUCUCAGAGGUACAAGGUGGAUGAUACGCGGUGAGCAACAGACACUGGUCUUUCUCUCUUCUCAGAGGUACAAGGUGGAUGAUACACGGUGAGCAACAGACACUGGUCUUUCUCUCCUCUCAGAGAUGCAAGGUGGAUGAUACGCGGUGAGCAACAGACACUGGUCUUUCUCUCCUCUCAGAGGUACAAGGUGGAUGAUACGCGGUGAGCAACAGACACUGGUCUUUCUCUCCUCUCAGAGGUACAAGGUGGAUGAUACGCGGUGAGCAACAGACACUGGUCUUUCUCUCCUCUCAGAGGUACAAGGUGGAUGAUACGCGGUGAGCAACAGACACUGGUCUUUCUCUCCUCUCAGAGGUACAAGGUGGAUGAUACGCGGUGAGCAACAGACACUGGUCUUUCUCUCCUCUCAGAGGUACAAGGUGGAUGAUACGCGGUGAGCAACAGACACUGGUCUUUCUCUCCGCUCUUGUUUGAUUUGAACAAACCGUGCCUCCAGUAGGCUUUGGUUUCCGCUCUGCGAGCUUCGGUUAAUAAUGCCAUGGGUGGGAUGGAGAC
Long non-coding RNA from Oncorhynchus keta (chum salmon), 1056 nucleotides. RefSeq lists it as uncharacterized. Lineage: Eukaryota; Metazoa; Chordata; Actinopteri; Salmoniformes; Salmonidae. The record is from RefSeq and is a predicted model, not a curated record. The transcript has 3 exons.